Molecule: non-coding RNA, 90 nt
Organism: Thalictrum thalictroides
Lineage: Eukaryota; Viridiplantae; Streptophyta; Magnoliopsida; Ranunculales; Ranunculaceae
Source: the annotation of a GenBank genome assembly
GGCUCAAUGAUUACAUGCCUGAUUUUGGCAAUAUACGCUAUACUGAGUGAUGUGUUAUAUCACUAAGCUGAUAACUUUAUUAUGAGAGCU